CCUACGGGAGGCAGCAGUGGGGGAUAUUGCACAAUGGGGGGAACCCUGAUGCAGCGACGCCGCGUGGGUGAAGAAGCGCCUCGGCGCGUAAAGCCCUGUCAGCAGGGAAGAAAAUGACGGUACCUGAAGAAUAAGCCCCUGCUAACUACGUGCCAGCAGCCGCGGUAAUACGUAGGGGGCAAGCGUUAGCCGGAUUUACUGGGCGUCAAGCUCUCGUAGGCGGUAUGUCAAGGCACGGGUGAAAUCCCCGCGCUCAACGUGGGAACUGCCUUUGAAACUGGCAAACUGGAGUGUGUGAGAGGAUAGUGGAAUUCCAGGUGUAGGAGUGAAAUCCGUAGAUAUAUGGAGGAACAUCAGUGGCGAAGGCGACUAUCUGGCACAUAACUGACGCUGAGGAGCGAAAGCGUGGGUAGCAAACAGGAUUAGAUACCCCUGUAGUC
RNAcentral lists this ribosomal RNA (440 nucleotides) under uncultured bacterium. Its description in RNAcentral is "partial 16S ribosomal RNA". It matches the Rfam family "Bacterial small subunit ribosomal RNA", at positions 338 to 795 of the family's 1533-position model. The record is from RNAcentral.